GAACUGGUGAGUAACACGUGGGUAACCUGCCCAGAACCAGGGGAUAACACUUGGAAACAGGUGCUAAUACCGUAUAACAACAAAAACCGCAUGGUUUUUGUUUAAAAGGUGGUUUCGGCUAUCACUUCUGGAUGGACCCGCGGCGUAUUAGCUAGUUGGUGGAGUAAUGGUUCACCAAGGCAAUGAUACGUAGCCGACCUGAGAGGGUAAUCGGCCACAUUGGGACUGAGACACGGCCCAAACUCCUACGGGAGGCAGCAGUAGGGAAUCUUCCACAAUGGACGAAAGUCUGAUGGAGCAACGCCGCGUGAGUGAAGAAGGGUUUCGGCUCGUAAAACUCUGUUGUUGAAGAAGAACACAUCUGAGAGUAACUGUUCAGGUGUUGACGGUAUUUAACCAGAAAGCCACGGCUAACUACGUGCCAGCAGCCGCGGUAAUACGUAGGUGGCAAGCGUUGUCCGGAUUUAUUGGGCGUAAAGCGAGCGCAGGCGGUUUCUUAAGUCUGAUGUGAAAGCCUUCGGCUUAACCGGAGAAGUGCAUCGGAAACUGGGAGACUUGAGUGCAGAAGAGGACAGUGGAACUCCAUGUGUAGCGGUGAAAUGCGUAGAUAUAUGGGAGAACACCAGUGGCGAAGGCGGCUGUCUGGUCUGUAACUGACGCUGAGGCUCGAAAGCAUGGGUAGCGAACAGGAUUAGAUACCCUGGUAGUCCAUGCCGUAAA
Molecule: ribosomal RNA, 720 nt
Filed under: uncultured bacterium
Lineage: Bacteria
Description: bacterial SSU rRNA
Rfam family: Bacterial small subunit ribosomal RNA
Source: RNAcentral